UGCGUAGGCGGCUAAGCAAGUCAGAUGUGAAAUCUAUGGGCUCAACCCAUAAACUGCAUUUGAAACUGCAUAGCUUGAGUGAAGUAGAGGCAGGCGGAAUUCCCCGUGUAGCGGUGAAAUUCGUAGAGAUGGGGAGGAACACCAGUGGCGAAGGCGGCCUGCUGGGCUUUAACUGACGCUGAGGCACGAAAGCGUGGGUAGCAAACAGGAUUAGAUACCCCAGUA
This 225-nucleotide ribosomal RNA is filed under the name uncultured Ruminococcus sp. Its description in RNAcentral is "partial 16S ribosomal RNA". It matches the Rfam family "Bacterial small subunit ribosomal RNA", at positions 568 to 792 of the family's 1533-position model. The record is from RNAcentral. Lineage: Bacteria; Bacillati; Bacillota; Clostridia; Eubacteriales; Oscillospiraceae.